UGUUAUGUCUCCCUCUGGUGGUGAAUAAAGCAAUACAACCAUGUGCUUAUAUGCUCAUACAUGAUUAAUGUGAGACAAUGAUAGUGGCUCCUAAAAUCAUCCUUUAACCCAGGGGUUCUCAAACUGUUUGGAGCCAGGGAUCCCCUACAGACUUGGCUAAUGAACAGCUGAAACCCACAGGCUGCAUAAAACAUGGAGGCAGUCUCGGUGACGUCACACAUGGGUUUCUGAGGACGCGUUUUGAAACCCUGAUGGCGGUCACAAUUUUGGAAAUGUUAACUCAACGUAGCUUUCAACAAAGAGACAGAGCUGAGGCUGGCUUUUUUUUGUUUUUUUUUUGUUUACCUGUGUGGCAAACAACUACAACACGCCCCCCUGUCAGUCAACUUAGCCGUGCCCCUAUUUAAGUUCAUUCUUGUGUAAGUCCUUGCUCUUCUAUUAUCUUAAAGUAUGCAUUACAAAAAUAAUUCAGCUCUGUUUUCAGAAGCAGAAACAUGUCUAAAGUUGGGCUUUCUAACAUGGAACCUAAUGGGGAUUCUUUGGCUUUUGCAGCCAGCCUCAAGUGGACAAUUGAGGAAAUGCAUGUUUUGCACUUCUGCAUUGGAUUUGUUUUUCAACACCUGAUGUUGCUGCUUUCUGAGGCCUUGCUGAUCUGCAGAAUGGAUAUGAAUGCAUGAAGUCUUUCUAUAAAAUCGGUUUCUUUUCAUUCAAUUCCCCAAUGAGUGAUGUGAUUAUCUUAUGUUAGUAACCAUUUUUAAAAUAAAAAUUCAGUUAUUGUUUGAACAAUGUUUCAAUUAAAAUUCCUGAUUGUGCA
Notolabrus celidotus (New Zealand spotty) is the source of this 814-nucleotide long non-coding RNA. RefSeq lists it as uncharacterized. NCBI's taxonomy places the organism in Eukaryota, Metazoa, Chordata, Actinopteri, Labriformes, Labridae. The transcript is spliced from 2 exons. The record is from RefSeq and is a predicted model, not a curated record.